RNAcentral lists this ribosomal RNA (273 nucleotides) under uncultured bacterium. RNAcentral's name for it is "partial 16S ribosomal RNA". It matches the Rfam family "Bacterial small subunit ribosomal RNA", at positions 524 to 796 of the family's 1533-position model. The record is from RNAcentral.
UACGUAGGUGGCAAGCGUUGUCCGGAAUUACUGGGCGUAAAGGGCGUGUAGGCGGGCUAUUAAGUCAGAUGUGAAAUAUCCGGGCUCAACCUGGAGGGUGCAUCUGAUACUGGAAGCCUUGAGUGCAGGAGAGGACAGUGGAAUUCCUAGUGUAGCGGUGAAAUGCGUAGAUAUUAGGAGGAACACCAGUGGCGAAGGCGGCUGUCUGGACUGUAACUGACGCUGAGGCGCGAAAGCGUGGGGAGCAAACAGGAUUAGAUACCCCCGUAGUCC